AGAACGAACGCUGGCGGCAGGCCUAACACAUGCAAGUCGAACGCUCGUAGCAAUACGAGAGUGGCAGACGGGUGAGUAACGCGUGGGAACCUUCCCAGUGGUACGGAAUAGCUCAGGGAAACUUGGGGGUAAUACCGUAUACGCCCUUCGGGGGAAAGAUUUAUCGCCAUUGGAUGGGCCCGCGUAGGAUUAGCUAGUUGGUGAGGUAACGGCUCACCAAGGCGACGAUCCUUAGCUGGUCUGAGAGGAUGAUCAGCCACACUGGGGCUGAGACACGGCCCAGACUCCUACGGGAGGCAGCAGUGGGGAAUAUUGGACAAUGGGCGCAAGCCUGAUCCAGCCAUGCCGCGUGAGUGACGAAGGCCUUAGGGUUGUAAAGCUCUUUUGGCGGGGAAGAUAAUGACGGUACCGCAGAAUAAGCUCGGCUAACUUCGUGCCAGCAGCCGC
RNAcentral lists this ribosomal RNA (447 nucleotides) under uncultured soil bacterium. RNAcentral describes it as "bacterial SSU rRNA". It matches the Rfam family "Bacterial small subunit ribosomal RNA", at positions 26 to 518 of the family's 1533-position model. The record is from RNAcentral.